GACGAACGCUGGCGGCGUGCUUAACACAUGCAAGUCGUGCGGUGUCGAAGGCAAGUCUUACGACAAGCCUUCGACACAGCGGCGAACGGGUGAGUAACACGUGAGUAGCUGUCCUAAGGAGGGGGAUAACGCCUGGAAACGGGUGCUAACACCCCAUAUGCCUCGCAAGAGGUGAAAGUGUACUUGCUACAGCCUUAGGGUGUGCUCGCGGCCUAUCAGCUAGUUGGUGAGGUAACGGCUCACCAAGGCUAAGACGGGUAGCCGGCCUGAGAGGGUGUACGGCCACACUGGAAUUGAGAUACGGUCCAGACUCCUACGGGAGGCAGCAGUGGGGAAUCUUGGGCAAUGGGCGAAAGCCUGACCCAGCGACGCCGCGUUGGGGAUGAAGCCCUUCGGGGCGUAAACCCAUGUUGUAGGGGACGAAGAAAGUGACGGUACCCUACGAGAAAGCCCCGGCCAACUACGUG
RNAcentral lists this ribosomal RNA (467 nucleotides) under uncultured bacterium. RNAcentral's name for it is "bacterial SSU rRNA". It matches the Rfam family "Bacterial small subunit ribosomal RNA", at positions 28 to 507 of the family's 1533-position model. The record is from RNAcentral.